RNAcentral lists this transfer RNA (67 nucleotides) under Felis catus (domestic cat). It matches the Rfam family "tRNA". From Rfam's summary of the family: Transfer RNA (tRNA) molecules are approximately 80 nucleotides in length. Their secondary structure includes four short double-helical elements and three loops (D, anti-codon, and T loops). The record is from Rfam by way of RNAcentral. Lineage: Eukaryota; Metazoa; Chordata; Mammalia; Carnivora; Felidae.
ACCUGGGUGGCUCAGUCGGUUGAGCAUCUGACUUCGACUCAGGUCAUGAUCUUGCAGUUCCUGGGUU